Molecule: ribosomal RNA, 1370 nt
Filed under: uncultured bacterium
Lineage: Bacteria
Description: 16S ribosomal RNA
Rfam family: Bacterial small subunit ribosomal RNA
Source: RNAcentral
AGAGUUUCAUCCUGGCUCAGGACGAACGCUGGCGGCGCGCCUAACACAUGCAAGUCGAACGAGCGAGAGAGAGCUUGCUUUCUCGAGCGAGUGGCGAACGGGUGAGUAACGCGUGAGGAACCUGCCUCAAAGAGGGGGACAACAGUUGGAAACGACUGCUAAUACCGCAUAAGCCCACAGCUCGGCAUCGAGCAGAGGGAAAAGGAGCAAUCCGCUUUGAGAUGGCCUCGCGUCCGAUUAGCUAGUUGGUGAGGUAAUGGCCCACCAAGGCGACGAUCGGUAGCCGGACUGAGAGGUUGAACGGCCACAUUGGGACUGAGACACGGCCCAGACUCCUACGGGAGGCAGCAGUGGGGAAUAUUGCACAAUGGGGGAAACCCUGAUGCAGCGACGCCGCGUGGAGGAAGAAGGUCUUCGGAUUGUAAACUCCUGUUGUUGAGGAAGAUAAUGACGGUACUCAACAAGGAAGUGACGGCUAACUACGUGCCAGCAGCCGCGGUAAAACGUAGGUCACAAGCGUUGUCCGGAAUUACUGGGUGUAAAGGGAGCGCAGGCGGGAAGACAAGUUGGAAGUGAAAUCUAUGGGCUCAACCCAUAAACUGCUUUCAAAACUGUUUUUCUUGAGUAGUGCAGAGGUAGGCGGAAUUCCCGGUGUAGCGGUGGAAUGCGUAGAUAUCGGGAGGAACACCAGUGGCGAAGGCGGCCUACUGGGCACCAACUGACGCUGAGGCUCGAAAGUGUGGGUAGCAAACAGGAUUAGAUACCCUGGUAGUCCACACCGUAAACGAUGAUUACUAGGUGUUGGAGGAUUGACCCCUUCAGUGCCGCAGUUAACACAAUAAGUAAUCCACCUGGGGAGUACGACCGCAAGGUUGAAACUCAAAGGAAUUGACGGGGGCCCGCACAAGCAGUGGAGUAUGUGGUUUAAUUCGACGCAACGCGAAGAACCUUACCAAGUCUUGACAUCCCUUGACGAACAUAGAAAUAUGUUUUCUCUUCGGAGCAAGGAGACAGGUGGUGCAUGGUUGUCGUCAGCUCGUGUCGUGAGAUGUUGGGUUAAGUCCCGCAACGAGCGCAACCCUUACUGUCAGUUACUACGCAAGAGGACUCUGGCAGGACUGCCGUUGACAAAACGGAGGAAGGUGGGGAUGACGUCAAAUCAUCGUGCCCUUUAUGACUUGGGCUACACACGUACUACAAUGGCGUUAAACAAAGAGAAGCAAGACCGCGAGGUGGAGCAAAACUCAGAAACAACGUCCCAGUUCGGACUGCAGGCUGCAACUCGCCUGCACGAAGUCGGAAUUGCUAGUAAUCGUGGAUCAGCAUGCCACGGUGAAUACGUUCCCGGGCGUUGUACACACCGCCCGUCA